This 236-nucleotide long non-coding RNA is filed under the name Mytilus galloprovincialis (Mediterranean mussel). Lineage: Eukaryota; Metazoa; Mollusca; Bivalvia; Mytilida; Mytilidae. The record is from RNAcentral.
AGUUAUUGUGUGAAAACCAAGAAUAAUGCUUAUUUGGGCCCUUUUUUGGCCCCUAAUUCCUAAACUGUUGAAACCAAAACUCCCAAAAUCAAUCCCAACCGUUCUUUUGUGGUCAUAAACCUUGUGUCAAAAUUUCAUAGAUUUCUAUUAACUUAAACUAAAGUUAUAGUGCGAAAACCAAGAAAAUGCUUAUUUGGGCCUUUUUGGCCCCUAAUUCCUAAAAUGUUGGGACCAAA